This 460-nucleotide ribosomal RNA is filed under the name uncultured bacterium. RNAcentral describes it as "partial 16S ribosomal RNA". It matches the Rfam family "Bacterial small subunit ribosomal RNA", at positions 338 to 795 of the family's 1533-position model. The record is from RNAcentral.
CCUACGGGUGGCAGCAGUGAGGAAUAUUGGUCAAUGGGCGUAAGCCUGAACCAGCCAAGCCGCGUGAGGGAUGAAGGUUCUAUGGAUUGUAAACUUCUUUUAUAAGGGGAUAAAGUCAGGGACGAGUCCCUGUUUGAAUGUACCUUAUGAAUAAGGAUCGGCUAACUCCGUGCCAGCAGCCGCGGUAAUACGGAGGAUUCGAGCGUUAUCCGGAUUUAUUGGGUUUAAAGGGUGCGUAGGCGGCCUUUUAAGUCAGCGGUGAAAGCCCGUGGCUCAACCUUGGAAUUGCCGUUGAAACUGGUUGGCUUGAGAGUGUUUGAGGCAGGCGGAAUGCGUGGUGUAGCGGUGAAAUGCUUAGAGAUCACGCAGAACCCCGAUUGCGAAGGCAGCCUACCAAGCCAUUUCUGACGCUGAUGCACGAAAGCGUGGGGAUCAAACAGGAUUAGAUACCCGGGUAGUC